CCUACGGGGGGCAGCAGUGGGGAAUAUUGGGCAAUGGGCGCAAGCCUGACCCAGCAACGCCGCGUGAAGGAAGAAGGCUUUCGGGUUUUAAACUUCUUUUCUCAGGGACGAAGCAAGUGACGGUACCUGAGGAAUAAGCCACGGCUAACUACGUGCCAGCAGCCGCGGUAAUACGUAGGUGGCAAGCGUUAUCCGGAUUUACUGGGUGUAAAGGGGGUGUAGGCGGGAAAGCAAGUCAGAUGUGAAAACCAUGGGCUCAACCUGUGGCCUGCAUUUGAAACUGUUUUUCUUGAGUACUGGAGAGGCAGACGGAAUUCCUAGUGUAGCGGUGAAAUGCGUAGAUAUUAGGAAGAACACCAGUGGCGAAGGCAGUCUGUUAGACAGCAACUGACGCUGAGGCGCGAAAGCGUGGGGAGCAAACAGGAUUAGAUACCCGUGUAGUC
RNAcentral lists this ribosomal RNA (443 nucleotides) under uncultured bacterium. RNAcentral's name for it is "partial 16S ribosomal RNA". It matches the Rfam family "Bacterial small subunit ribosomal RNA", at positions 338 to 795 of the family's 1533-position model. The record is from RNAcentral.